This 76-nucleotide transfer RNA is filed under the name Patescibacteria group bacterium. RNAcentral describes it as "tRNA-Ala". It matches the Rfam family "tRNA". From Rfam's summary of the family: Transfer RNA (tRNA) molecules are approximately 80 nucleotides in length. Their secondary structure includes four short double-helical elements and three loops (D, anti-codon, and T loops). The record is from RNAcentral.
GGGCCCGUAGCUCAUCUGGUAGAGCGCUGCGUUCGCAUCGCAGAGGUAAGGAGUUCGAGUCUCCUCGGGUCCACCA